RNAcentral lists this ribosomal RNA (432 nucleotides) under Phoneutria fera. RNAcentral describes it as "partial 16S ribosomal RNA". The record is from RNAcentral. Lineage: Eukaryota; Metazoa; Arthropoda; Arachnida; Araneae; Ctenidae.
UUUUAUUAAACUCAAUAAUAGUAAAAUCUGCUCAAUGAAAAUUAAAUAGCCGCAAUACGUGCUAAGGUAGUAUAAUAAUUUGUCUUCUAAUUAAAGACAAAACAAAAGAUUUAACAUUUUAAAACAUAUAAAUAACUACAUACUUAAACUAUUCCAGCUCUCAAAAAAAAACUAUAAAAAAAAAAGACGACAAGACCCUAUUGAACUUAACUUUAGUUCAACUGGGGCAGUUGAUUAAACAUAUCUUAAUUUUAAUAUUAAAAAAUAAGACCUAAUAAAAUUAACUAAAAAAUCAAGUUACCAUAGGGAUAACAGCGUAAUAAUUAUUUAAAGUCCUUAUAUAAAAAAUAAAUUGCGACCUCGAUGUUGAAUAAUAAUCUAAUUUACGCAAUAGUAAAAAAAGAAAGUCUGUUCGACUUUUAAAAAAUUACA